GGCAUUUUGGCGGAGUGGUUAACGCGCUGGCCUGCUAUUGGCGUGCUGCAGACCUCAGAGCUUCAAACCUCUGAUUUCCCAAGGCAAAUCGAGCCCUUAGCUGUAUAGCCAGUUCCUUCGGGAGCGUGAGUUCGAAUCUCACAGAUGUCG
RNAcentral lists this transfer RNA (150 nucleotides) under Diplodia corticola. RNAcentral describes it as "Botryosphaeria corticola tRNA". It matches the Rfam family "tRNA". Rfam says of the family: Transfer RNA (tRNA) molecules are approximately 80 nucleotides in length. The record is from Rfam by way of RNAcentral. Lineage: Eukaryota; Fungi; Ascomycota; Dothideomycetes; Botryosphaeriales; Botryosphaeriaceae.